AACUCUGUUCUCCAGCCUCUUCAUGGUAUCAGAGCAGCCACGAUCCAAUCCUCCAUCACAAUGUCAACUUCCAGCUCUACUACUUCCCCUACAUCAUCCUCAUCCUCAUCAUUUGAUUUGUCCGUUGCCUCGCCUCUUCCCAAUCUCGGUAAUAUUCAUUAUUUUCUUUCUUUAAAGCUAACUCCAACAAACUAUUUGCUAUGGAAAACGCAGUUUCUUCCUUUGUUAAGGAGUUUCGAUCUCCUCGGAUUAGUGGAGGGCACAGAUCGUUGCUCUUCCCCUUACAUUGUUACUAGUGAAUCUGGUCUGUCAUCCUUAAAUCCAGCAUAUACUGCUUAAAUUUGCAAAGACCAACUUCUUAUCCGUUGGAUUAUCGCUUCACUCUCGGAAGACGUUCUCUCACAAGUUGUUGGUCUUGCGACAUCCCAUGAAUGUUUGUGUUUUUAUAUUUAUUCUAGACAAAUAAUCAAUCGGAGGUUGGAUGGAAUUGCGUCAUAACGAUCAUAUCAAAUGGAGGUUGGCGGAAAUACCAGAAUGAAGCCAAAUACAUUCAAGUUAAAAAUUCAAGAUCAAGUUUCAUCCGCAACCAAGACGAGCUUGAUUGAAGAUCAA
This is a long non-coding RNA of Asparagus officinalis (garden asparagus), 612 nucleotides long. RefSeq lists it as uncharacterized. The record is from RefSeq and is a predicted model, not a curated record. The transcript has 2 exons. NCBI's taxonomy places the organism in Eukaryota, Viridiplantae, Streptophyta, Magnoliopsida, Asparagales, Asparagaceae.